GGGGCAUUGGCGCAGCUGGUAGCGCGUCUGUAUGGCAUACAGAAGGUCAUCGGUUCGAGUCCGAUAUGCUCCAC
This 74-nucleotide transfer RNA is filed under the name Nesterenkonia lacusekhoensis. Its description in RNAcentral is "tRNA-Ala". It matches the Rfam family "tRNA". Rfam says of the family: Transfer RNA (tRNA) molecules are approximately 80 nucleotides in length. Their secondary structure includes four short double-helical elements and three loops (D, anti-codon, and T loops). Further hydrogen bonds mediate the characteristic L-shaped molecular structure. tRNAs have two regions of fundamental functional importance: the anti-codon, which is responsible for specific mRNA codon recognition, and the 3' end, to which the tRNAs corresponding amino acid is attached (by aminoacyl-tRNA synthetases). tRNAs cope with the degeneracy of the genetic code in two manners: having more than one tRNA (with a specific anti-codon) for a particular amino acid; and 'wobble' base-pairing, i.e. permitting non-standard base-pairing at the 3rd anti-codon position. RNAcentral also lists the same sequence under 1 other name. The record is from RNAcentral. Lineage: Bacteria; Bacillati; Actinomycetota; Actinomycetes; Micrococcales; Micrococcaceae.